Hemicordylus capensis (graceful crag lizard) is the source of this 743-nucleotide long non-coding RNA. RefSeq lists it as uncharacterized. The transcript has 3 exons. The record is from RefSeq and is a predicted model, not a curated record. Lineage: Eukaryota; Metazoa; Chordata; Lepidosauria; Squamata; Cordylidae.
UUUUAGAGCAAUCAUUUAUAAAAGACUCUAGAGAUGCUAAAAAGAGCAAGGAAAAGUUCAGCAUAGAAUAAAAAGCUGGUGGUCAGAGAUGCUAUUUGCUUAGGUUGCUGUUGUUUCUAGCAGGAGAAAAAUUAACACGAAGUGACCUAGCUAAUCGAUAGAAAAUAUAUGGAAUGAAAAGAAAGAAGAACUACAAAAGGUUCAAGUGAAAGAUCUAAUACGAUGGUCAGCAAACACUGGACAGCUGCUAGACUAGACCCUUCUAUAUAUAAACCAGUGGAGGAUACUGACCAUAUACCCACUCAGCUCAUCAGGCUUGGAGGCUGAAGAACUGGUCCAAUUUGAGCCACCUCUGAUUGAAGACUGAAGAAGAAAGAGUAGAUGCAGAGACCAGACAACAGAAGUGGACUACUGGACACAAUGUGGGCUACUGGACACAAGCCUUCACCCACCCCCCAAGUCCAGCUGCCACCUAUAUUUGUAUCUGUUCCCAGCCUGUGGGCCCAGCAGCCUAAAGGCUCAAAUGAAAAUGAGGAAUGUGAUAAUAUGAUGAUGAAUUGUUCAUGCAUUUCCAUUUGAGAUCCAGUUGAGAGUGAAAGCAUUCUAGGCUACAGCAGACUUUGAUUCAUACAGAUUGGUGCAACACUCCGGAGAGCUCCCUCUACAUACACAAAAGACUUGCAUAAGGGAUACUUCCAAAUAUACUUCUGUACAGUGCUUCCUCUUUAGGGGGAAAAGCGAUG